RNAcentral lists this ribosomal RNA (466 nucleotides) under uncultured bacterium. Its description in RNAcentral is "partial 16S ribosomal RNA". It matches the Rfam family "Bacterial small subunit ribosomal RNA", at positions 28 to 507 of the family's 1533-position model. The record is from RNAcentral.
GAUGAACGCUGGCGGCGUGCUUAACACAUGCAAGUCGAACGAUGAAGCUCAGCUUGCUGGGUGGAUUAGUGGCGAACGGGUGAGUAACACGUGAGUAAUCUGCCCUUAACUCUGGGAUAAGCCUGGGAAACUAGGUCUAAUACCGGAUAGGAGCGCCUACCGCAUGGUGGGUGUUGGAAAAAUUUAUCGGUUUUGGAUGGACUCGCGGCCUAUCAGCUUGUUGGUGAGGUAAUGGCUCACCAAGGCGACGACGGGUAGCCGGCCUGAGAGGGUGACCGGCCACACUGGGACUGAGACACGGCCCAGACUCCUACGGGAGGCAGCAGUGGGGAAUAUUGCACAAUGGGCGAAAGCCUGAUGCAGCGACGCCGCGUGAGGGAUGACGGCCUUCGGGUUGUAAACCUCUUUCAGUAGGGAAGAAGCGAAAGUGACGGUACCUGCAGAAGAAGCACCGGCUAACUACGUG